RNAcentral lists this transfer RNA (72 nucleotides) under Sphaerodactylus townsendi. Its description in RNAcentral is "tRNA-Thr". It matches the Rfam family "tRNA". From Rfam's summary of the family: Transfer RNA (tRNA) molecules are approximately 80 nucleotides in length. Their secondary structure includes four short double-helical elements and three loops (D, anti-codon, and T loops). Lineage: Eukaryota; Metazoa; Chordata; Lepidosauria; Squamata; Sphaerodactylidae. The record is from RNAcentral.
GCACCUGUGGCUCAAGGGCACAACGUCUGCUUGGUGUGCAGAAGGUCCUGGGUUCAAUCCCCAGCAUCUCCA